GCCUGGGUGGCUUAGUCGGUUAAGCGUCUGACUUUAGCUCAGGUCAUGAUCACUCAGUUCGUGGGUUUGAGCCCCGUGUUUGGCU
This 85-nucleotide transfer RNA is filed under the name Felis catus (domestic cat). It matches the Rfam family "tRNA". From Rfam's summary of the family: Transfer RNA (tRNA) molecules are approximately 80 nucleotides in length. Their secondary structure includes four short double-helical elements and three loops (D, anti-codon, and T loops). The record is from Rfam by way of RNAcentral. Lineage: Eukaryota; Metazoa; Chordata; Mammalia; Carnivora; Felidae.